UUUAUUACUAUGAUGAGAAGAGUAGCUAUAUGGAAGUAGUCUUAGCGAGUAAGGAAUGGUGUAAGCCUUAUACGAAGCCUUUAGUGAAGAACAUCUCUGAGUUUCUAACCGAACAAGUGAAAAUAAUCACCUUACUUAUUCAAGGUGUAAAUUAGACUAAUUAAAACUUUAGUCUCACUUAAGUAGACUUAGACGGAUUCAAACCGUUAUUAUUUGAAUGACAUUACUUGUGUCAGUAGAGUGGCUAUUUAUAUGAUAGCAAUCUGGGUGGUACCGCGAAAUUAUCCUUUCGUCCCUAUU
RNAcentral lists this non-coding RNA (300 nucleotides) under Clostridium sp. Its description in RNAcentral is "T-box sequence". It matches the Rfam family "T-box leader". From Rfam's summary of the family: Uncharged tRNA acts as the effector for transcription antitermination of genes in the T-box leader family. T-boxes are found upstream of many aminoacyl-tRNA synthetase genes and some amino acid biosynthetic genes usually in Gram-positive bacteria. The anticodon of a specific tRNA base pairs to a specifier sequence within the T-box motif, and the NCCA acceptor tail of the tRNA base pairs to a conserved bulge in the T-box antiterminator hairpin. Lineage: Bacteria; Bacillati; Bacillota; Clostridia; Eubacteriales; Clostridiaceae. The record is from RNAcentral.